RNAcentral lists this ribosomal RNA (250 nucleotides) under uncultured bacterium. RNAcentral describes it as "partial 16S ribosomal RNA". It matches the Rfam family "Bacterial small subunit ribosomal RNA", at positions 524 to 773 of the family's 1533-position model. The record is from RNAcentral.
UACGUAGGGGGCAAGCGUUGUCCGGAAUUAUUGGGCGUAAAGGGCGCGUAGGCGGAUUUUUAAGUCUGGUGUGAAAGAUCAGGGCUCAACCCUGAGAGUGCAUCGGAAACUGGGGAUCUUGAGGACAGGAGAGGAAAGUGGAAUUCCACGUGUAGCGGUGAAAUGCGUAGAUAUGUGGAGGAACACCAGUGGCGAAGGCGACUUUCUGGACUGUAACUGACGCUGAGGCGCGAAAGCGUGGGGAGCAAAC